This is a non-coding RNA of Pelobates cultripes (western spadefoot toad), 209 nucleotides long. NCBI's taxonomy places the organism in Eukaryota, Metazoa, Chordata, Amphibia, Anura, Pelobatidae. The record is from the annotation of a GenBank genome assembly.
CACACAACGUACUAACAGCUCUAUAAACCGACCGGUGCAUCCAUCAUCCAACAUUACAUGAGAGCGGCACAUGAAAACCCAGGCCUCACGUCCGGGGGCUCCCAUUUAAGUUUUGGCAUUACGACCUCACCUAGGGCAGGAACACCCAUGUAGGGAACCACAUGCCCGCACUAGCUUUCGCGAGAAGAUGAUUCCUGUUUGCCCACUAG